This 484-nucleotide ribosomal RNA is filed under the name uncultured bacterium. RNAcentral describes it as "partial 16S ribosomal RNA". It matches the Rfam family "Bacterial small subunit ribosomal RNA", at positions 30 to 507 of the family's 1533-position model. The record is from RNAcentral.
AUUGAACGCUGGCGGCAGGCCUAACACAUGCAAGUCGAGCGGAUGAAGGGAGCUUGCUCCUGGAUUCAGCGGCGGACGGGUGAGUAAUGCCUAGGAAUCUGCCUGGUAGUGGGGGAUAACGUCCGGAAACGGGCGCUAAUACCGCAUACGUCCUGAGGGAGAAAGUUGGGGAUCUUCGGACCUCACGCUAUCAGAUGAGCCUAGGUCGGAUUAGCUAGUUGGUGGGGUAAAGGCCUACCAAGGCGACGAUCCGUAACUGGUCUGAGAGGAUGAUCAGUCACACUGGAACUGAGAAACGGACCAGACUACUACGGGAGGCAGCAGGGGGGAAUAUUGGACAAUGGGCGAAAGCAUGAUACAGCAAUGCCGCGUGUGUGAAGAAGGUCUUCGGAUUGUAAAGCACUUUAAGUUGGGAGGAAGGGCAGUAAGUUAAUACCUUGCUGUUUUGACGUUACCAACAGAAUAAGCACCGGCUAACUUCGUG